AAUUUAAGAAUUUGGGCUUUUUAGCCUUUGCUCUUUCCCUCAAACUUUCCUGUCUCCUUAACUUCUGGCUUUGAUGUUGAUUACAUGCUUCAAGGUCUGCAAAUGGGACCAGUGGACGGGGCAGAGGAAUUUCAAAAUACAUACUCAGCUUCCACUUUCUGCUCAGAAUUAAUAUUUUCUACUUCAAGAGGAGUGCAGAAACCUGACUACAUAGAGUAUAGGUAUUUUUACCUUUCCUUUCUUUUAAAAAAUUUUAUUUAAAUUAGCCAACAUAUAGUACACACUUAGUUUCCAAUGUAGUGUUUAAUAAUUCGUCAGUUGCAUAUAACACCCAGUGCUCAUCAUAUCACCCUACCUUUCCCUUCUUUAUAUUGUAAUUAUGUAUAUGAUAUACAGUUAUAUAUAAUUUUAUUGUAUGUAAUUGCAUCUAUGUACUUUGUCUUUUUUUAAAUUUUUUUUAUUGGUGUUCAAUUUACCAACAUACAGAAUAACCCCCAGAGCCCGUCACCCAAUCACUCCCACCCCCCACCCUUCUACCCAAUCACUCCCACCCCUCCCCUUCUACCACCCCUAGUUCGUUUCCCAGAGUUAACAGUCUUUACGUUAUGUCUCCCUUUCUGAUAUUUCCCACACAUUUCUUCUCCCUUCCCUUAUAUUCCCUUUCACUAUUAUUUAUAUUCCCCACAUGAAUGAGAACAUAUAAUGUUUGUCCUUCUCCGACUGACUUACUUCACUCAGCAUAAUACCCUCCAGUUCCAUCCACAUUGAAGCAAAUGGUGGGUAUUUGUCAUUUCUAAUGGCUGAGGAAUAUUCCAUUGUAUACAUAAACCACAUCUUCUUUAUCCAUUCAUCUUUCGAUGGACACCGAGGCUCCUUCCACAGCUUGGCUAUUGUGGCCAUUGCUGCUAGAAACAUCGGGGUGCAGGUGUCCCGGCGUUUCAUUGCAUCUGUAUCUUUGGGGUAAAUCCCCAACAGUGCAAUUGCUGGGUCGUAGGGCAGGUCUAUUUUUAACUCUUUGAGGAACCUCCACACAGUUUUCCAGAGUGGCUGCACCAGUUCACAUUCCCACCAACAGUGUAAGAGGGUUCCCUUUUCUCCGCAUCCUCUCCAACAUUUGUGGUUUCCUGCCUUGUUAAUUUGCCCCAUUCUCACUGUUGUGAGGUGGUAUCUCAUUGUGGUUUUGAUUUGUACUUUGAAAACUGCAUCAGUGUUACAAUUUUUAUCUUCAUCAUCAUCCAUAUUUUUUGUAGCCAAUUAGAGAGGAACAGAAUAGUUUAUUAAAUUUACCUAGAUAGUUUCCAUUUCUUGUGCUUUCCUUCAUUCUUGAUGUCCUAAUCUUCCUUGCCAUAUCAUUUCCCUUCUGUCUAAAGAACUUCCUUUAGCAUUUCUUUCAGAGAAGUUUGUGUAGGAGUGAUGCCUCUUAGAACGUCUCUUCCACAUCCAUUUGUGAAGGACAUUUUUACUGGAUAGAGAAUUCUGGUUGACAGUUCUUGACUUGCAGAAAUUGAAGAUUAUUCUUCUUUUGGCAUCCAUGGUUUCUGAUGAGAAAUCCAUAGUGAUGUGAUUUGUUGCUCCCUUCUAUGUCAUAUGUCUUUUUCCCUUUGGGUGCCUUCAAGAGUUGUUUUUUAUUUUUUUUCUUUGUCUUUAGUUUUCAAGUCAUGUUAUGUGUGUGGACAUGAUUUUUCAAAAAUUUAUUAUGUUUAGUUUCUUGAGAACAGAAACAAAAAAAAUGUAAUCGCUAAUUUGCCUUAUGCUAUUAGAAACAAUCUGUAACCAAGAGUUUUAGGCAUCUGCCUGGUCUCUGCUGCUGCUGCAGUGUGGCAUGAUUGCCUGGUGGCUGGGACAGAAACUUUUUUUUUUUUUUUUUUAGAUCUAAUUUUUAUUUUAUUUUAUUUAUGAUAGGCACACAGUGAGAGAGAGAGAGGCAGAGACACAGGCAGAGGGAGAAGCAGGCUCCAUGCACCGGAAGCCCGACGUGGGAUUCGAUCCUGGGUCUCCAGGAUCACGCCCUGGGCCAAAGGCAGGUGCUAAACCGCUGCACCACCCAGGGAUCCCUGGGACAGAAACUUAACAAAGAUUAGGAACUUAUAUCACUGUCCAGCCCCCUUUCCUAAUCCUUGGUCCAGAAAGCUAGGUCUUCUCUUGAAGCUCUUUCUGUCCACAUUGAUGUACACUUCUGGGUCUGGAGCUGCCUAUGUGUCUAUCUGGGGUGAUCCCAGAGUUUGGGAAAAAGUGGGAAACUUUCCACUAGUUUCAUUAUACUACCCAUUCUGCUUUCUCCUAUUUUCUGGCUACCUUUCCUUCUGAGAUAAUUGCCCUCUGGUUCUGCCCAGGGCUAAAUUUGCAUCCCAUGAAGAGACAGGGUGGAGUGCGCUUACCCCAUCUUGCCUGGAAUGAUCCCAAUUGGUUUUAAAUGUUCUUUGUUGGCUUCUGACUACUUGACAAGCAUACAGAGAUUUGCACCCUUAAUCACUUAAAUUCCCUGAAUUUUGAUGAGUUUCAAAUUUUGGUGACUCAAGUUGUAGAAUUUUCUAUUUUCUUGCUGCUUUGGACACCUGCAAGUUCUGGAAAGAAUUCUAAGGGAAUGAGAGCUAAGAUUUAUUGAGUCAGUCCUUGGUGCAACAUUGUCACAUUUCAUCUUCAUCAUGGUUCCUUUUUUAUGGGUGUUAUUUCCUCAUUUAAGAGAAAAGGAAAAUUUGGCUAAGCAAAGUCACAUAGCUAGGUUAAAUAGCACAUCCAAACUCAGGUUUAUUUUGUUUCAUUCUGAACCCUAGUUCUUUCCAUCAUAUUAUGCUGAAGAUAGACUAAAUUUGUAUUUUUUUAAAUGUGGGUAUUGUUGGAAAAUAACAUAUAUUUUUAACCGAUUAAUAUUUGAAAAUGCAAUCAAUAUUUUGGUCUCCUAUUACCUGAAAAAGAUUCAUUCUCUUGCUCCAAGUAACUCAGGACCAACUGUCCACUGUGAUUCUUUUUUAAAACCUUUCUUAGGGGGACCUGGGUGGCUCAGUGGUUGAGCAUCUGCCUUUGGCUCAGGGCAUGAUCCCAGGGACCUGGGAUCUAGUCCCGCAUUGGGCUCCCCACAGGGAGCCUGCUUCUCCCUCUGCCUAUGUCUCUGCCUCUCUCAUGAAUAAAUAAAGAAAAUCUUUAAAAAAAUGAAAUAAAAAAUAAAAACUUUCUCAGGUGUUGUGAUUUCAUUAAUAACCACCUGAUCCUCUGGUAGACUCUUGGCCUGAAAAUUUCAGGCUUUCAUUUUAUCAAGAAAAAAAGCCAGUUACAUUUAACUUAGAGUGUUUAGCUUGGACAGAACAUUAGACUCAUAAAUACUAAUUUUUGAGAAGUCACUGGGGUCUGCACGGAUAAGUGGAUUGACCUUCAGCGAGUACGUAGCUGAGGAGCCGACUGGGCUGCCCUUUU
RNAcentral lists this long non-coding RNA (3411 nucleotides) under Canis lupus familiaris (dog). Its description in RNAcentral is "lncRNA (ENSCAFG00040009969.1)". The record is from RNAcentral. Lineage: Eukaryota; Metazoa; Chordata; Mammalia; Carnivora; Canidae.